UGGACCAGACCAGAUUGCAGAACGCAUAGCAGGCACGGCCCUCUGCCGUCGCCGUCGGGGAUGGCGGCCAUGGGUUUUCGCACGGCGCGGGUUCGCCCCGCCCCUCUCCCCAAGACCACCGCCACAACAGCCCGGGUCUCGGCCUGGAGGCGAAGAAGGCGCUGCAGUAAGCGGCCGAGUCGAGGAGCUGUCUGCGGGCGAGGGCCGACGGCGGACGAGGGUUAGGUAUGUCAUAUGGUUCCAUUUCUGCCCCUUCAUAAGCAUCAGCCUCUUGGUAGCUUAUAUAGGUGCUAACUCGCUCAUUGAUUCAUAUAGUACCCCAUCACAUAUAUUUUUGGGAUGGUCGAUGAACUCGACAAUUGCUUAGAGGAUUUGGUACAGUGAGCACGCAUUUUUAAUCUAAUUCAACAGCAUGCAAGAGGGAUUGGGGAUAAAACUUGGAAUUCUAAAGUAGCAGUGUUUAAGCUGACUACUUGUUUUCGAUUUGGUUUAGACCCUAAUGUUCGAGCACCGGUUAAUAGAUCACCGAGUUCUCAUCGCAUGGAAGAAGAUGCUUCCUUUUUCAAAAUUACUUGAACUAAACCCCAGUGUCGCGCAAAAAAGUACUCCUCAUCCAAACAACAAGCAAGACUGGGAACUGGAAAUAAAAUGAAUGAAUUGUAGUUUAUAAACAACCAAUGACAACACAAUAGCAAAUUACCAAACUUUAACUAAGCAGAUGCAACAACUCAGCUGGUAUUUUCCCUUCAACGUCCAGAUAGAGGGUUUAAUUCUGGCAUCCCACCGGUAUAACCAGACCGGAAGGAGCUCUCCUCGUUCCUUUCUUCAGAAAUCAGCAACUGGAACUGCCUUCGCAUUUCAGCAUCCAUGGAGUUCGUACAUCGAGAGGACGCAGAAGCAUACUGCUUUUCACUUGGAACCGUUGGCAGCAACACUUUUAGCCUUGAAACAACUUCGGUCAUGGUAGGACGGUCCAUGGCUGCGCUUUCGACGCAGUUCAUGGCAAGGUCCACCACACUCUGCAGGGAACUGGUGUCAUACUGAUCCAACAGCUUCUUGUCCACGAUAUCUUGGAUACUGCCUUUGGCAAUCUUUUGGCGUACCCAAUUUGGUAGGUGGUAGGUUUGAGGGUCCAUCAACACCGGGGGCUUGCCAGUGAUGAUUUCCAAGAGCACGAUGCCGAAGCUGUAAACAUCUGUCUUGGUGGUGAGCUGGAAAGUUGCAUGGUACUCGGGGUCAAGGUAGCCAAGAGUGCCAGCAGCAACAGUAGAUAUGUGUGUGUGCGCAUCGUUAAAAGCCCGUGAAAGCCCAAAAUCAGCUAUGAUCCCCACCAGGUUCUUGUCCAGAAGGAUGUUAGCGGUCUUGACAUCUCUGUGAACUAUUGAUGGGGUGCAUGACUCGUGUAGAUAUUCCAGUCCUGUAGUUUACUUUGUCAACAUAUGGAUACAUACAUAGAUCGCCUAAAGGAAGCAUGUAAAUGAAAUUCCAACCUUGUGCAGAAUCAAGUGCAAUAUGAAGUCGCUGUUCCCAAUUCAAACUGUAGUCUUCUCCUGCAUCAAGAUGUACCAAAUUUAAUUUAAGUGCCACAAGAUACAUGCAUGGUAGCAUACAUACUAGCUUUGUAAUUUUGCACAUUUAACUUCAGAAAUGAUGUUAAAACAACACACAAUGAUUAACCUUGGUAUCAAUGGGUCUAUUAUGGUCUGAAGCUGGCAUAAAUAAGCUCUUUGAUCUUCAAGAGAUCACUGUUUUUCCUUCUCUUUAACAAAGAUUUUUCUUUUAACAAUGGAACCAAGCUAUUGAAGUAUUCUUUGAAUAUGUACCUCCGUCAUUGCUUUGUUUCUUACUGAUUUUAAAUAUGCAACUAUCAAGUCAUAACUAUGACUGAGUAGAGAUAUGUAACUGUUGUGCCCAAAUUUGUUAGCCAAGUAUCUAUGACCAUGCUAUGGUUAUGAAUUUGACAAUGGACAAUUCUAAGUAGAAUUUUCCAAAAAAGAAAAGCUCUAAAAAGAACUAGGUCCACCAACUCAAGUGUAUGAUUAGCAGCAGCAAUAACAGUCUAUGCAACCAACUACACCUUUAACAAGGAAAUCAGAUUUUAUUUAAAAAACUCCUUGUUUACAGUAGGGUCUAGGGUGUCAAUGCCAGAUUUAUUUGAUUUGAUUUUAAAAAAACUUAUGCCAGGUCCUAUCAAUUUUUUAUUAUGCUGCGAAGCGCAAUAUAAAAUUUACUCCCUCCGUUCACAAAUAUAAGAUGUUUUAAAUUUUUUCUGAAUCGGAUGUAUAUAGACAAGUUUUAGUGUGUUUGUUCACUCAUUUCAGUCUCUAUGUAGUCCAUAUUGAAAUAUCCAAAACAUCUUAUAUUUGUGAACGGAGGGAGUAGCACGUAGGUGGUUUCCAAGUAGUUAAUGAAAGCUGUUGGUGUGUGCUUUUGAAAUAGUGGAGAGAAAAACCUUCUCUUAAAAGCUGUUGAAGAUUUCCUCUGGGCAUGAAGUCAUAAAUGAGGGCUAGGCACUUGUUCUGGCAAUAUCCUUGUAGAGUUACGAGAUUCUUGUGAUGAACUUUGGACAAGGUUUGCACCUGCAGCAACAGAUAUAGUUACCAAUCAUCCUAGAGCUGAAGCCAGUUGCAUCAUUUCAUUGGAUAUGGACUCUGGAAAGGAUUGAUAUCUUGCACACUUAUAGUUUACUUUCUGUUGAAGAAUCAUUAAUUUGACCUAGUUGGUCUUAUGGUAUACCUCAGGGAGGAAAUCCGUUGACUCCGCUAUUGAUGUCUCCAUAAGCACCUUUACCACCACUUCAUCAGCAUUUUCCAUUGUGCCAUGAUAAACAGUACCAAAACCUCCUUUUCCAACUAUUGAAUUGAAGUCGUUUGUUAUGUGCUUUAGCUCUGCGUAGGUGAACCGUCUGAUGUCAAUAUGUAGGGGCGUCUCCUCUUCAUACAUAGCAUAAUCCUCAGUGUCUCCUGACAUCCCCGCAGAGUCAAAAAGUAGUGUGUUACAUGAAAGUUUUGGUGUGAAGCUGCUGUUUAAUUUCUACCACCUAUUCCAUUGAUGGAAGGGAAUUUAAGAGCGAAAUGUAUUGUUUUACCUUUCCAGCACAAUUUCCAGAGUAUGCACAUCACUACUAGGAGGGAUACAAGUACUACAGGAACUAUCACUGCGAUGACCAUGGUAGAUUUGGUGCUCUUCUUAUUUGAACAGUACGUAUCUUUGACUUUUGAGCAUACGGGAUUGCCUUCUAACCUAGUGGCACCAUUACAGAACAUAUAGAAAAAAAAUGAACACAUAAGAUGUUAGCUACAACAGCUCUACAAAAUUAUGAUUAGAAGAUGCCUCCAUUUUCUAACACGACUAACAUGCUAAACAUGUAUGCACUCUGAACGAAUAAACUUCAUGGUUUCUCAUCUAUGCAUUCUAAAAGAAGAAACUUCAUGGUUUGUAAAUCAUGUGCAGUUACUAAAUGUCCUUAUCUAUUUCUCAUAUUGAAUGCCGAUAGAUGAUAAAGCCUUAUAGUUAUACUAGUACACGUAACUGAUGGAAUGUUUAGAUCAAUGCAAUGCUCUGCGCAAGUGUUGCUGCACACACUUCUUGUGGCACCCGAAUUGGCCAUCACAACUUCGUCAAAUUUGGUAAGUGUUCACAUAUACGACAAUGAGGCUGCUGCGGCUUGGUGCUGGAAAAAUGUGGCACGCCACAAAAUGUAACACCAACCAAACUGUUGCCACAGAAAGUCAAACUUGUAUAACUGUUGUUUUGUGAAAUGUGCGAAGAUUUUUGCUAAACCUUGAUUUUUUUUCUAUGAGGCUUAACCCUGUUUCUUUUCGGUGUAGUUGUUUAGUUUGAUCUAUUUUUUUUCUUCUGUUGUAAGAAAUUGUGAAACAUUCAGUCAAGACGAAAGGAUUGUGCAACAGAGCAUGCAAACCUUAAGUCAAGCAGACCGGCCUGAUAUCUUUGAAGAAUAGAAUGAGGGAUUGGUCCAUCGAGUUGGUUAUAUGACAAAUCUCUGUAAAAUAAUAGUUAAAACCAUUCUCUAAAAUUUAUAUCAUCACCCAAACAUUAUAAUCAGCAGAGACUUACAGAACUUUUAUUGACUUUAUUUGGUAGUCUGGAAUACCUCCUGUCAAAUUGUUGUGUGACAAAUCCCUGCAUAUGUUUUAUGCUUAGGAUCACAAAGAUGUUAACAUAACCUCAUUUAUCCCAUUAAUAUUUUGUGGUAGGCACCACUUACAGGUUUUCCAGUGAUACCAUGUUCAUGAAUGCUAUGGUUAAUCCACCUUUCAGUCCGCUGGUAGACAGAUUUCUGCAAAAAAAAAUAAAAAAAAUCAUUCAAUACAAAUGUCUUCAUUUUGUGAUAUCAUUGAGCUAACAUGUUUCCUUGAGAUUAUUCUAGUAUCUUUUUGUGGUUCAGGUUUACAGUAAAUUAUUUAUAUAACAGAAUGUGCUUCAAAAGUUAAAAAAUAUUGAAUUGUGAUGUUCAGAUUCCGAAAUGUAUAUGGUACAAGUCCCUGUUAGGUUCUUACACUCCAACAAUCCUCGGAUUCUGGUUGCUCUUAGAGUAGUCGCAAGUCAAACCUUCCCAGGAAUAUUCUCUUGGGGAGCACAGAUCUCCAUUCCAGUUUAUUCGUGUCAAAUUGUAGUGUUUCUUGACUUCUUUCAUGUAACUGACUACAACAGCCAAAAGACAAUGGAAACAAAUAUAAAUGGAAUGAAAAAAGCUGUAUGUGUUGGGUAUGGGCGUUCAUAUGUAUUUAAAAGAAUGUAGACAUUAACUUAAGUACUUAACUAGUUGCAAAGUUAUUUUAAUAGAAGAAAAUAAAUUGUAUCAAUCCAUUCCUCUACAACGGUCUUGGCCAUGGUUUGUGGGCCGUUGAACUUUAGAACAUGGCUUACUAAGGAAUUUAGUGUAGGACUGAAUCAGCUGGUUAUUGUCUUACUAAGGAGUUUAGUGUAGGACUGAAUCAGCUGGUUGAUAAACUUGUUUCUAUUACUUUAAUGAGGAUACUGGCAAUGUCUAAUGGAGUUGAGAAUCUUCAGGGGUCUACACAAGUAUACAAUGAGAUUUUUGUCAUUAAGAUCUGUUUUAAGUGCAGGGAGCUGGAGGUGAUGUUCAUCAACUGAAUAAGCUGCAUGAUGAUGGUGCGAAUCUUGUCACACGCAUGAUAUAUUCGUCAUAUGCGUGCAAUAUCUAUGUCGAUGAUCGAUCUUACCAU
Molecule: long non-coding RNA, 5210 nt
Filed under: Triticum aestivum (bread wheat)
Lineage: Eukaryota; Viridiplantae; Streptophyta; Magnoliopsida; Poales; Poaceae
Description: long non-coding RNA (TAES_LNC026045)
Source: RNAcentral